RNAcentral lists this ribosomal RNA (164 nucleotides) under Rumex obtusifolius (bitter dock). RNAcentral describes it as "5.8S ribosomal RNA". It matches the Rfam family "5.8S ribosomal RNA". From Rfam's summary of the family: 5.8S ribosomal RNA (5.8S rRNA) is a component of the large subunit of the eukaryotic ribosome. It is transcribed by RNA polymerase I as part of the 45S precursor that also contains 18S and 28S rRNA. Functionally, it is thought that 5.8S rRNA may be involved in ribosome translocation. Lineage: Eukaryota; Viridiplantae; Streptophyta; Magnoliopsida; Caryophyllales; Polygonaceae. The record is from RNAcentral.
AAACGACUCUCGGCAACGGAUAUCUCGGCUCUCGCAUCGAUGAAGAACGUAGCGAAAUGCGAUACUUGGUGUGAAUUGCAGAAUCCCGUGAACCAUCGAGUCUUUGAACGCAAGUUGCGCCCGAGGCCUUCCGGCCGAGGGCACGUCUGUCUGGGCGUCACGCA